RNAcentral lists this ribosomal RNA (133 nucleotides) under uncultured bacterium. RNAcentral describes it as "partial 16S ribosomal RNA". The record is from RNAcentral.
GUAUUUAGCCGUCGCUUCUUCUGUAGGUACCGUCAUUUUUUCUUCCCUACUGAAAGCACUUUACGAUCCGAAGACCUUCAUCGUGCACACAGAAUUGCUGGAUCAGGCUUGUGGCCCAUUGUCCAAUAUUCCC